UGUUCUUCCUCAAGCGCAAGGACAGGAUUUCGUCUUCGCUUUCGGAU
Molecule: transfer RNA, 47 nt
Filed under: Apocalathium aciculiferum
Lineage: Eukaryota; Dinophyceae; Thoracosphaerales; Thoracosphaeraceae
Description: partial Selenocysteine transfer RNA
Source: RNAcentral